RNAcentral lists this ribosomal RNA (520 nucleotides) under uncultured Glomus. RNAcentral describes it as "SSU rRNA". It matches the Rfam family "Eukaryotic small subunit ribosomal RNA", at positions 569 to 1091 of the family's 1831-position model. Lineage: Eukaryota; Fungi; Glomeromycota; Glomeromycetes; Glomerales; Glomeraceae. The record is from RNAcentral.
AGCAGCCGCGGUAAUUCCAGCUCCAAUAGCGUAUAUUAAAGUUGUUGCAGUUAAAAAGCUCGUAGUUGAAUUUCGGGGUUAGUAGGCUGAUCGUGCCACAGGUAUGCACUGGUCUUACUGAUUCCUCCUUCCUGAUGAACCGUAAUGCCAUUAAUUUGGUGUUGCGGGGAGUCUGGACUGUUACUUUGAAAAAAUUAGAGUGUUUAAAGCAGGCUAACGCUUGAAUACAUUAGCAUGGAAUAACGAAAUAGGACGUUCGAUCCUAUUUUGUUGGUUUCUAGGAUUGACGUAAUGAUUAAUAGGGAUAGUUGGGGGCAUUAGUAUUCAAUUGUCAGAGGUGAAAUUCUUGGAUUUAUUGAAGACUAACUACUGCGAAAGCAUUUGCCAAGGAUGUUUUCAUUAAUCAAGAACGAAAGUUAGGGGAUCGAAGACGAUCAGAUACCGUCGUAGUCUUAACCAUAAACUAUGCCGACUAGGGAUCGGAUGAUGUUAAUUUUUAAUGACUCAUUCGGCGCCUUAA